AAGGGUAUGGCUCAGCGGUAGAGCAGGUGCUUAGCAGGCAUGAGGUCCUGGGUUCAAUGCCCAGUACCUCCA
This 72-nucleotide transfer RNA is filed under the name Camelus ferus (Wild Bactrian camel). It matches the Rfam family "tRNA". Rfam says of the family: Transfer RNA (tRNA) molecules are approximately 80 nucleotides in length. Their secondary structure includes four short double-helical elements and three loops (D, anti-codon, and T loops). The record is from Rfam by way of RNAcentral. Lineage: Eukaryota; Metazoa; Chordata; Mammalia; Artiodactyla; Camelidae.